GACGAACGCUGGCGGCGUGGAUUAGGCAUGCAAGUCGAACGGUAUCAUCCUUUCGGGGGUGAGAGAGUGGCGAACUGGUGAGUAACACGUAGGUUAUCUACCCUCAAGACGGGGACAACCCAGGGAAACUUGGGCUAAUACCGGAUGUGAGCAACUUUUAGUUGUUUGAAAGGUGGCGUAAGCUGUCGCUUGGGGAUGAGCCUGCGUCCUAUUAGUUAGUUGGUGAGGUAACGGCUCACCUAGGCAAUGAUAGGUAGGCGGCCUUAACGGGUGGUCGCCCACACUGGGAUUGAGAUACGGCCCAGACUCCUACGGGAGGCAGCAGUCGAGAAUAGUCUACAAUGGCCGGAAGGCUGAUAGUGCGACGCCGCGUGAACGAGGGAGCCCUUCGGGGUGUAAAGUUCUUUUCUAUACGAGCAGUGCUAUAUAUAUGGAUAGUAUAUAUAGAGGGAUAGUAGUAUAGGAAUAAAGCAACGGCUAACUCCGUGCCAGCAGCCGCGGUAAU
This 505-nucleotide ribosomal RNA is filed under the name uncultured bacterium. Its description in RNAcentral is "bacterial SSU rRNA". It matches the Rfam family "Bacterial small subunit ribosomal RNA", at positions 28 to 524 of the family's 1533-position model. The record is from RNAcentral.